UGCGUAGGCGGUUUGAUAAGUUAGAGGUUAAAUGUCAGUGCUCAACACUGGCCUGCCUCUAAUACUGUUGGACUAGAGAGUAGAUGCGGUAGGCGGAAUGUAUGGUGUAGCGGUGAAAUGCGUAGAGAUCAUACAGAACACCGAUUGCGAAGGCAGCUUACCAAACUAUAUCUGACGUUGAGGCACGAAAGCGUGGGUAGCAAACAGGAUUAGAUACCCCCGUA
RNAcentral lists this ribosomal RNA (224 nucleotides) under uncultured Alistipes sp. Its description in RNAcentral is "partial 16S ribosomal RNA". It matches the Rfam family "Bacterial small subunit ribosomal RNA", at positions 568 to 792 of the family's 1533-position model. Lineage: Bacteria; Pseudomonadati; Bacteroidota; Bacteroidia; Bacteroidales; Rikenellaceae. The record is from RNAcentral.